RNAcentral lists this ribosomal RNA (253 nucleotides) under uncultured bacterium. RNAcentral's name for it is "partial 16S ribosomal RNA". It matches the Rfam family "Bacterial small subunit ribosomal RNA", at positions 524 to 776 of the family's 1533-position model. The record is from RNAcentral.
UACGUAGGCAGCGAGCGUUGUUCGGAGUUACUGGGCGUAAAGGGUGUGUAGGCGGUGGCUUAAGUUUGGUGUGAAAUCUCCCGGCUCAACUGGGAGGGUGCGCCGAAUACUGAGUUGCUCGAGUGCGGGAGAGGAGAGUGGAAUUCCUGGUGUAGCGGUGAAAUGCGUAGAUAUCAGGAGGAACACCGGUGGUGUAGACGGCUCUCUGGACCGUAACUGACGCUGAAACACGAAAGCGUGGGUAGCAAACAGG